This 424-nucleotide long non-coding RNA is filed under the name Trifolium pratense (red clover). RNAcentral's name for it is "long non-coding RNA (TPRA_LNC003984)". The record is from RNAcentral. Lineage: Eukaryota; Viridiplantae; Streptophyta; Magnoliopsida; Fabales; Fabaceae.
GGGUGUAUUACAUGAUUGGAAUGAUGAGGAAUGUUUAAAUAUUCUAAAGAAAUGCAAGGAAGCAAUAGAGAGCAAAGGAAAAGAAGGGAAAGUGAUAAUCAUAGAUGCAGUGGUGGGGAAUGAGAAGGAAGACAAAGAAUCAUUUGCAGCACAAUUGUUCUAUGAUUUGGAGAUGAUGGUUUUAGUCAAUGGAAAAGAGAGAAAUGAGAAAGAAUGGUCUAAGCUGUUUUUCUCUGCUGGUUUUAGUAACUACAAGAUAACUCAUGGUCUUGGUUUUAAGUCUCUCAUUGAAGUUUUUCCUUAGUAGUUAGUUGUAAUUGAAGUAGUCCCCAUUAUAAGGACCUAUAAUCCUUUGUUUUGUUGGUGUGUCUGAACUUCUUGUGUGUAAUUGUGAGGUGCAAAUUCUCUCCCUCGUAAAGCUGUU